AACUUAAAUGAUGGUAACCUGGUGUUAGCCAUGUAAAUCCACCCCAUAAUUGUGGGAGGUUUCCUUCUAAUAAAUGGGGGAUUAUAGUUUUCAACUGAGACUUAUCUUUAUUGUCCUAAUUGAUCUUGAGUGACUCUAAAACAAAAUUCAUUUUUAUGGUCAAGGCAUUAUUAAUUGCCGAGUUGAGGGGGUCCUACCUAGUAAUAUCAAGAGUAGCCUGAAUAAUACUAAAUUUUUUUCUUCUAAAAUAAAUUUCCUAAGAGCUAUCCAAUCAGAGCCUCAGGAAGGAAAAAUCCACCAAGGUAUCCCAGAAUACUAGACACAGGUCCACAUAUGCAACAGUUUUACACAGAUGCAACAAUUACAUUGAUUUUUAGAACUAGCAUAGAUAGAAAAAUCUAUUGGCACAUGAUAGAAAAAUAUUUAUUUCAUAUGCAAAAGUCCAAGACAUAAAAAAUAUCAUAAAUGAUCAUACAGACCAAGUCCAGCAUCUUGGGUCACCUGUCUACUUCUGAUGUUGUCUUCUUAUCAUCCUGGUAUGAGUGUAGUUUCUCCUCUUUUGAGUUUCAUUUUAUGGUGAUUUGAGGUCAGCAGUCUUCUCUAUAGACCAGUCCAGUGCAGGGGCCCUUUUCAACUGGGAAAUAUGAAUCCAAGAGUCAAUUUUCUUUAGUUUUGCUGUACAUAAUAUAGUUAAGAGUACCUGGUAAGGCCUUUAUAUCUGGGUUGAGUGAGUCUUUUAGAUGAUGUCUUUUCUGAUAUACAUAAACUCCUGACUGUAGAUCGUGGGACAUCUGAUCUUCAUCUAAAGAUAGAUUACUAUGAUAAGCUUCAGAAAUAGUCUUAGAAUGUCCUUUUAGAAGCUCAGUUAAACUUCUACAAUAAUGUAAUAUGUCCCCUUUUAAUAAUACAGGUUCAUAUAAUCCUUCAUCUAAUCUCAUUUGACUCCCUGUGAUAAUUUCAAAAGGAGACAAAUGAUAUUUCCAGAGAGGGUAGAUCUUAGUUUGAGGAGGACCAAUGGAAGGGCCUUUGGCGAGGGUAAGGAAUAAAUAUCUAUAAUUUUAGCCAAUUGGGCUUUAAGUGUCCAAUUGUCCUUUCUACUAAUCCAGCAAACUGGGGGUUAUAAGCAUAAUGGAAAUGCUGAAUGAUUGGCCAAAUUUUAUAAGUUUUCUUGAUAAUUUGUCCAAUAAAAUAGGUUCCCUUAUCACUCUGUUUUCUGAAGGAAUUCCCCAAAUGAGAAUCACCCUUUCCAAAAUUAAUUUGCCUAUUGAAUGUGCAGUGACCCUUCUGCAUGGGAAUUCCUCAACCCAAUGUGAAAACAAAUAUACAAAUCAUAACAAAUAUACACUGGUAACCUUGAGAGGGAGGCAUUUGGAUAAAAUCAAUCUGCCAAAUUUCAAAAUGGCCUGCAGGCAAUGGAAAGCUUCUUUGAGAACUAUGUAAUAGCUUUCCUGAGUUAUAUUUUGGAUAUGUAGUUCAUCUAGAAUACACCUCUGAGCUGUAUUGAAGGAUGGCUUCUAAAAUGAUCAUUUGCUCCCAACACCAUCUUAUCUGGAUUCCAAUGAGUUAACUCAUGAAUUGUCAAAUUGGGUAUUGGACUCCAAGUGACUUUCUGUUUGGGCCUAUCCAGAGUCAAAAUUUCCUUCUUUUUGUUUCUAAGUAUCCUUUCCUCCUUUCAGUUCCAUUCCAUGAAAAUUUAACAGGGUGUUAGUAAGGUUACUGGGAGGCUGAAAUGAUAAAACAGCUGUUAGUUGAUGGUUUUCAUUUUGCAGAGCUGCUGUCUUGGCAAUGUGAUCAGCCGAGUUUCCUUUUGCUUUUGUGGUGUCAGCCUUUGAAUGACCUGAUACUUUAAUGAUAACUAAUGUACUUGAUAGCAGAAUUGCAUCCAAUAAUCCUGUGACUUGUCUCCCAUUUUUAACAAGCUGUCCUGAGAAUAUUAAAAAUCCUCUUUGUUUCAAAACCAUGCCAAAGUCAUGUGCUGCCCACAAAAUGUAGUGGCUGUCAGUGUAAAUGUUAGACUUCCCUUUUGCCAACUGGCAGGCUCAUGUUAGUGCUAUUAAUUCAGCCUGUUGGACCAAGAGACAUUAGGUAAGGAACCUUUUUAAGUAUUGACACUGGAAAAAAGACAGCAUAACUAGCCUGGUACUUUCCAUGAGGUCCUUGAAGUUAUGAGCCAUCAAUGUGGAACAUAGAAUCAGGAUUAUCCAUUGGGCUUUCUCAGAGAUCAGUCCUGGGAAAUAAAAGAUUGACAGUCAAAACAAAACCAUCAUGUUUUUCAUCGUUGAUGUCUGAUUCUUCCAGUAGCAAAAUGGCUGGAUUAAGCAUAUCACAUCUGGGAAAAUUUAUAUUUGGCAAGAGCAAGAUAAUUGCACAGGAGGUUAAUCGACUUGCUGAAUAAUGUUGUGUGUGAUGAGAGUUGAGUAAGUCUUCCACAGAGUGAGGAACAAAGAUAGGAGGGAGUGACUUAUGAAUAUCUCUUCUGUGGUGUGACACAGCACAGCUAUUGCUGUGACAGUCCUGAAGCAAGGGAGGAAGCCCCUGGCUAUCGAAUCUAGCAGUUGACUAUAAUAUCCUAUUGGCUGGUUGCAACCACCAUGUUGCUGGGUUAGUACUCCUAGUGCAGUCCUCUUGCUUUCAUGAACAAAGAGGGAAAAGGGUAGAUCAUAAUUGAGAUGUCCCAGGGCCAGGACCUUGGCCAAAAGUUUUUUUAAGGUCUCUAUGACAUCCCAGCAAAGAGGUUCAGGUUGGUCUUGUUUGAAUAAAUUGUAUAGUGGUUGAGCUGAUAAAGGAAAAUUUGAAAUCCAAUUCCUACAGUAGCCUGCAAGUCCUAAAAAUCCCUUUAAUUGCCUUUUUGUCUUCAGGGCAGGGGAAGCUAGAAUGCCUUUAAUUCUAUCCAGACCAAUUAAAAGUCCUUCUUUAAAUAUCCUAAGUCCUAAGUAUUUUACUCUAGUCUUACAGAAUAGUAAUUUCUCUUUGGAUCCUUUAUGUCCCUUUAAGGCUAGCUUCUGAAGUAAAUAAAAGUCAGGGUACCUAUCAAACGUCAAGGUACCUAUAUCAAAGAAUUUGAACACAGCAGCAAAUCAUCUACAUAUUGUAUCAAAUUGGAGUUAUGAGGAAAAUUCAGAUCAUCUAUAACUACUUUUAUUAUUUGGGAGAAGUAAGUGGGGCUUUCAUUAUAGCCCUGUGGCAUUACAGUCUGCAUAUAUUGUCAUACAUUCCAAGUACAAGCAAAAGGAUACUGGUCAUCCAGAUGCAUGGGGAUACUAAAAAGAUCUAUAGUGAUUUUAAUGGGUAAGGCAGAAUGUAUUCUCCCAAUGUCAAUGUAAUCAAAUGCCCAUAAUUCUUAAGGUAAUAAGCCUAACAAUUUAUCCUGUUCAUCACCAUCCUCAUCAUGGGUCAGAAAUACAAAAUGAAAGGAAGUCUGAUUGAUCCUUCAGAUCUAGAAAUCUUUCUCCCUUAGGAGUAAAAGAAAUGUGGACUUCAUAAGCUUCUAAUAGGUCUCUACUUAGCAGGUGAAUAAGAGUACUUUCUACUCAAAUUCCCUUAAGUAGAAUUCUGAAGGUAAUGAUUUCAAAUUCCCUUAAUUAGAAUUCUAAAGGUAAUGAUUUCAGAUCCUUAAGAAGUGUAUUAGAAACCUCCAUCAUCUGUACUGAGGUAUUACUCCAAGGGAGACAGCCUUUAGUUUAUGUAGCAUUCAAAACUGAAAAGGUGGUAUCUAUUAGGGCUUUAAUUGUUCCUCCUUGUAUCAUCAUUUCUACUUCACCCUUGGUGUUAGAGAGCAUCAGGAAAAAGACUAGAAGAAGCCCCAUUUUUGUUUAACUCAAAAUUCCAGUCUAAAAUUCAGUAUUUCUUCUAGGCUUCUCCUUUACUUACAGUUUAUUUUCUGAUGUCCUGGCUUUCCUCAGUAAAAACAACUUUGAGUUUCUCUACUGGUUGUGGAUAACAGGGAUCAGUUAACCUUCAACCAGCAUUGAGUACUUGGUUGAGUAGACCUCCCUGUGCUAUACAGUAUGUCCUUGUUAGUUUUCUAUUCUAUAUAUAGUAGUGUGUAUGUGUUAAUCCCACCUUCCCAACCAAUUCCUCCCCACCACAGUUUCCCCUUUGGUAACCAUAAGUUUGAUUUUGAAAUCUGUGAGGUUUUUUUUUUUUAAUGAACAAUUUCUUUGUUUCAUUUUUAUUAGAUUCCACAUAUGUGAUAUCAUACGAUAUUUAUCUUGUACUUAUUAUGAUAAUCUCUAGUUGCAUUCAUGCUGCUGCAAAUAGCAUCAUUUUGUUCUUUUUUUAUGCCUGAGUAGUAUUCUAUUGUGUAUAUGUGCCACAUCUUCUUUAUCUAUUCCUCUGUCAGUGGACAUUUAGGUUUCUUCUGUGUCUUGGCUAUUGUAAAUAGUACUGUAACCAAUCAUUGGGGUGCAUAAUCUUUUCAAAUUAUGGUUUUCUCCAGAUACAUGCCCAGGGGUGGGAUUGCAGGAUCAUAUGGUAAUUUUAUAUUUUUAAUUUUUUAAGGGACCUCCAUACUCUUCUCCAUAGUGGUUGUACCAAUUUACAAUCCCACUAACAGGAUGGGAGGGUUCCCUUUUCUCCACACUCUCUCCAGCAUUUGUUGUUCAUAGACUUUUUGAUGAUGCCCAUUCUGACUGGUGUGAGGUGAUACCUCAUUGUAGUUUUGCUUUUCAUUUCUCUAGUAAUUAGUGAUGUUGAACAUCUUUUUGUGUGUUUUUUGGUUAUCUAUUUCCUAUUUUAAAUUGAACUUUUGGAGAAUAAAAUUUACUAAUGAAAUUGUGUGGUAGGCAAGUAUGCUGCUUUUGAGCUUAGCUCCUCUAGGCAUCACCCUAGAGCUGUUUCAGCUCUCUUUUAUGUGGCUUGGUUUCUACCUUUGAUGGUCUAAGACCACUGUGGGUAGUCAGAUCACUGAAUAGCCAGUUUUUAGCCAUGACCUCCCAGAUAUGCAAGUCUUCAGUUAGUGAGUGGGUUUCCAUAUGGGAAUCACAGCACGGUAUGGAAACUCUGCCUCCACCAGUCCUGUAAAUUUUUGAGUUGCCUGAGAAAAUGGUAACCAACCAGGAGGAGUCUUGUCCCUUUUCUUUGAAGUAAAAGUUUUCAUAUAUUAUCUUCACUUUUAUCCUGAUAAAUUCUAUUAAGGUAGCUGAGUUGAUGAAAAGAGUCAGAUCAGCCUCUUACCUAACCACUCAGCCCAGACCACUCAGCCUCUUUUAAUUGAACAAACCCUGGUAUCUUUGAACUACCUCCUCACCCAGUAUGUUUCAAUUGAGUGGGUAUUGUUUCUGGUAUCUUUUAACCAGGUCUUUCCCCCAGUACCUUUUAACUGGGGGCGGUGGGGGAGGGGGGCAGGUAUAUGUCAUACACUUUCAAAUACAACACAGGAGCUUCAAGCAAUAUAGGAAAUUCAAUAACUAGGAGAGACUCACCCAAAUUUGUCUGGACUACCUGGGGAGGCAGACAGGUGCAGGAGGCCUCUGCUGGUACCAAGGCUCUGGUUUCCCAUAGAGUUCAAGUGAAAGAUAGAAGUCUGCUUUGGUUCUCUUUCAUUGGUGGCCAAAGCUGUC
RNAcentral lists this long non-coding RNA (5561 nucleotides) under Sus scrofa (pig). RNAcentral describes it as "lncRNA (ENSSSCG00000060675.1)". Lineage: Eukaryota; Metazoa; Chordata; Mammalia; Artiodactyla; Suidae. The record is from RNAcentral.